Molecule: ribosomal RNA, 761 nt
Filed under: uncultured bacterium
Lineage: Bacteria
Description: bacterial SSU rRNA
Rfam family: Bacterial small subunit ribosomal RNA
Source: RNAcentral
AGAGUUUGAUCCUGGCUCAGGACGAACGCUGGCGGCGUGCCUAACACAUGCAAGUCGAACGGGGUAGCAAUACCCAGUGGCGGACGGGUGCGUAACACGUGAGGAACUUGCCUAUCGGUGGGGGAUAGCCGGCCCAACGGCCGGGUAAUACCGCGUACGAUCCUCGGGGGGCAUCCCCUGGGGAUGAAAGCAGCAAUGCGCCGAUAGAGGGCCUCGCGGCCUAUCAGCUAGUUGGUGGGGUAAUGGCCCACCAAGGCGACGACGGGUAGCUGGUCUGAGAGGAUGAUCAGCCACAUUGGGACUGAGACACGGCCCAGACUCCUACGGGAGGCAGCAGUGGGGAAUAUUGCGCAAUGGGCGAAAGCCUGACGCAGCGACGCCGCGUGUGGGAUGACGGCCUUCGGGUUGUAAACCACUGUCGGGAGGGACGAAGCUCUGACGGUACCUCCAAAGGAAGCACCGGCUAACUCUGUGCCAGCAGCCGCGGUAAUACAGAGGGUGCAAGCGUUGUCCGGAAUCACUGGGCGUAAAGGGCGCGUAGGCGGCCUGAUAAGUCGGGGGUGAAACGCUGCGGCUCAACCGCAGCACUGCCUUCGAGACUGUUGGGCUUGAGCACGGUAGAGGCUGGUGGAAUUCCCGGUGUAGCGGUGGAAUGCGUAGAGAUCGGGAAGAACAUCGGUGGCGAAGGCGGCCAGCUGGGCCGUUGCUGACGCUGAGGCGCGACAGCGUGGGGAGCAAACAGGAUUAGAUACCCCGGUAGU